Poecilia formosa (Amazon molly) is the source of this 76-nucleotide microRNA precursor. Lineage: Eukaryota; Metazoa; Chordata; Actinopteri; Cyprinodontiformes; Poeciliidae. The record is from Ensembl.
GGUCCUGGUCCCGGUCCUGGUCCAGGUCCUGGUCCUGGUCCCGGUCCUGGUCCCGGUCCUGGUCCUGGUCCAGGUC